This 77-nucleotide transfer RNA is filed under the name Caudoviricetes sp. RNAcentral's name for it is "tRNA-Ile". It matches the Rfam family "tRNA". From Rfam's summary of the family: Transfer RNA (tRNA) molecules are approximately 80 nucleotides in length. Their secondary structure includes four short double-helical elements and three loops (D, anti-codon, and T loops). Further hydrogen bonds mediate the characteristic L-shaped molecular structure. tRNAs have two regions of fundamental functional importance: the anti-codon, which is responsible for specific mRNA codon recognition, and the 3' end, to which the tRNAs corresponding amino acid is attached (by aminoacyl-tRNA synthetases). tRNAs cope with the degeneracy of the genetic code in two manners: having more than one tRNA (with a specific anti-codon) for a particular amino acid; and 'wobble' base-pairing, i.e. permitting non-standard base-pairing at the 3rd anti-codon position. Lineage: Duplodnaviria; Heunggongvirae; Uroviricota; Caudoviricetes. The record is from RNAcentral.
GGUAGGUUAGCAUCAGAGGUUUAUAUAACUACACUAAUACUGUAGGAUAUAUAUGGGUUCGAGUCCCAGACCUACCA